This 97-nucleotide microRNA precursor is filed under the name Capsella rubella. RNAcentral's name for it is "mir-395 microRNA precursor family". It matches the Rfam family "mir-395 microRNA precursor family". From Rfam's summary of the family: mir-395 was identified in both Arabidopsis thaliana and Oryza sativa computationally and was later experimentally verified. mir-395 is thought to target mRNAs coding for ATP sulphurylases. The mature sequence is excised from the 3' arm of the hairpin. The record is from Rfam by way of RNAcentral. Lineage: Eukaryota; Viridiplantae; Streptophyta; Magnoliopsida; Brassicales; Brassicaceae.
AUGUUUCCUAGAGUUCCUCUGAGCACUUCAUUGGAGAUACGGUUGUCUAUUAAAUAGUAUUCUCUACUGAAGUGUUUGGGGGAGCUCUUGGACUCGU